AUUGAACGCUGGCGGCAGGCCUAACACAUGCAAGUCGAACGGUAACAGGAAGAAGCUUGCUUCUUUGCUGACGAGUGGCGGACGGGUGAGUAAUGUCUGGGAAACUGCCUGAUGGAGGGGGAUAACUACUGGAAACGGUAGCUAAUACCGCAUAACGUCGCAAGACCAAAGAGGGGGACCUUCGGGCCUCUUGCCAUCGGAUGUGCCCAGAUGGGAUUAGCUUGUUGGUGGGGUAACGGCUCACCAAGGCGACGAUCCCUAGCUGGUCUGAGAGGAUGACCAGCCACACUGGAACUGAGACACGGUCCAGACUCCUACGGGAGGCAGCAGUGGGGAAUAUUGCACAAUGGGCGCAAGCCUGAUGCAGCCAUGCCGCGUGUAUGAAGAAGGCCUUCGGGUUGUAAAGUACUUUCAGCGGGGAGGAAGGGAGCAAAGUUAAUACCUUUGCUCAUUGACGUUACCCGCAGAAGAAGCACCGGCUAACUCCGUG
RNAcentral lists this ribosomal RNA (490 nucleotides) under uncultured bacterium. Its description in RNAcentral is "partial 16S ribosomal RNA". It matches the Rfam family "Bacterial small subunit ribosomal RNA", at positions 30 to 507 of the family's 1533-position model. The record is from RNAcentral.